CAAGGUUAAAGCAAUAACGUAACAUUUCCCUAUCUCUAGAAACUCAAGGGGAAGCAGAAGGCAAAGAGCCGAACCCAGGGCAGUAGUGCGGAAGGACCCCUUUGCAUUCCACCUUGCCGGCACUUGGUUCCCGUGUCCUGGGAGGAACCUCUGGAGUCCGACCACAGGGCAGCUGCGCGGUGCGGGUGCAGGGACCCCUGACAUCAGGUCUUUGCUGGCUGAGCCCUACUUUGCCUUGACUGUGGUGGAGACACAGGCACUUGGACGUGGUCUAGGUAGCGAUGUGAAGAAAGGACAUUGCGUUUGGCCUAGAUGAGACUGCAGACCAUUGAUUUCUUUCUGUUUUCCACCUGAAAACUUUCUUAAUGCAGCAGGAGGGACUACUGGCGUAAAGGUUCGCCAUGCAGCGGAGGAAGACCAUGGAUG
Molecule: long non-coding RNA, 426 nt
Filed under: Apteryx owenii (little spotted kiwi)
Lineage: Eukaryota; Metazoa; Chordata; Aves; Apterygiformes; Apterygidae
Description: lncRNA (ENSAOWG00000004216.1)
Source: RNAcentral